CUUUAAGGGUCCUGAAGGGACGUUGAAGACGACGACGUUGAUAGGCCGGGUGUGUAAGCGCAGCGAUGCGUUGAGCUAACCGGUACUAAUGAACCGUGAGGCUUAACCUUACAACGCCGAAGGUGUUU
This 128-nucleotide ribosomal RNA is filed under the name Escherichia coli O157:H7 str. K6676. Its description in RNAcentral is "partial 23S ribosomal RNA". The stretch from base 1 to 110 matches the Rfam family "Bacterial large subunit ribosomal RNA", at positions 2811 to 2925 of the family's 2925-position model. The record is from RNAcentral. Lineage: Bacteria; Pseudomonadati; Pseudomonadota; Gammaproteobacteria; Enterobacterales; Enterobacteriaceae.